AAAGGCCUUUAAGAUUUUCGGUUUUUUGACAGGGCGCAGUGGCUCUUUCCUGUAAUCCUAGCACUUUGGGAGGCUGAGGGGGGUGGAUCACCUGAGGUCAGGAGUUCUAGAGCAGCCUGGCCAACGUGGUAAAACCCUGUCUCUACUAAAAAUACAAAAGUUAGCUGGGCAUGGUGGCAGGCGCUUGUUGAGAUGGAGCCUCACUCUGUCGCCCAGGCUGGAGUGCAGUGGGCGAUCUCGGCUUACUGCAGCCUCCUUCUCUUGACAAUCCAUGGGUUCAAGCGAUUCUCCUGCCUCAGCCUCCCGAGUAGCUGGGAUUACAGGCGCCCGCCACCAUGCCUGGCUAACUUUUGUGUUGUUUACUUUCACCAUGUUGGCCAGGCUGGUCUCGAACUCCUGACUUCAAAUGACCCACCUCUGCCUCCCAAAGUUGUGUGAUUACAGACCUGAGCCACCUCACGCGGACCCAAGGCCCUUAAGUGUAAAGGCCUCAUUCUUCAGUCAGGUUUUCCUUAUUCCUGCAUGUUCAGCCAAUCGUUUUAAGUUUGUGUUUAAGGAGAAACUAACAAUGAAAACGGACUCGUUGAGGGAGGAAAAGUUAGAAGGCAGCCUCUGGUGCUGUUUGAGCGAUCCCUCUCUCCCCGGCUGGGCCGCUGCUGUGUUCUGGAAAGGCGCACGGUACCCUGGAUGUGGCAGUGCAAUCAUAAAUGAUGGCUGGAACUACUCCAUUCUUCUGGAGAUGAAAUCUGCAUUCUCUUGUCUGAGAUAGAUAUGUUUGCUUGGGUUCUGCUUAAGGAGAUGGGGGAGAGCAGUGCAUUUCAGUGCCUGGAAAAUGUGUUCUCUAUAUAGGCUUUUGGUUAAUCUCUGUUUUCAGUCUUGCCUAUCAGUCCCACCCUCGGGGGUACUUGGUGUCUGAGUCUAGAACCUUUCCAGGUUGCUGUGGGACAAAUUAGCUUCCUUGUUAUGGGUAUCCCCCAACCUCCACUUUUGUUUGCUUUGCUCGACUAAUUAACCAUUUUCCAUUUACUGUCAUUUUCUAAUGGAGGUGAAUCUUCUGUUGGUAAUCCCAUUUCUUGUUUUGUAAUUGUGUGUUUAUAUAAUGUUUCUUCUUCACUGUAUUUCUAGUGGAGCCUCAGGACAAAGAGCAGAUGGUGGAAAUAUGUGUUCAGUGUUCAGUUUUUUUCCGUAAGACAUUUGCAAAUUGUGUUUUUCACUGACUAUCACAUGGACUUCAUGCAUAUAGAGCUACCUUGUUUGUCAUGAUUGUGCCUAGAAUUCUAUGGAGAAAUAUGAUUUGUGAAUUACCUGAUGAAAUUUUCCUCAUUUUGAAUCAUCCUUGCAUUCCUAUAAUAAACACUGUAAGAAUGGCUAUGGUAAUAUUUCA
Molecule: long non-coding RNA, 1384 nt
Filed under: Piliocolobus tephrosceles (Ugandan red Colobus)
Lineage: Eukaryota; Metazoa; Chordata; Mammalia; Primates; Cercopithecidae
Description: lncRNA (ENSPTEG00000018757.1)
Source: RNAcentral